GCGCCGGGGUCUCAGACCCUGAGGAGACUGAGCCCAGCGCCAGGCGACCGGUACCCGCCGCCGCCGCCCCUGCGCGGGAGAUCCACCCUGCUUAGUCCGCGCCCGAGCCCCCGUCCGUGGGAACAGACAAGGGGCCUCCGCAGCGCCUCACAACCCCCGACCAGGUCCAGCGGCGGGGGACUCGGCCGUGGAGGGCGCUGUUCGGUCUGCAUGGCUCCCCCCAUCAGCGGGAGGCUACACCCCCCACCAGCAGGGGCAAGAGGAGCAGCGGGAUGGGAGCAGGCCAACGUCCUGCGGCCUGGUUGAGCUCGCACUGACAAUCGCAGCUCAGGCGCUCAGGACUGCCAGGACCCAGAGGAUUCACACGACAGCCCCGGCUGAAGCCCAGCUCCUCAUCAACCGGUGAGCCGCCUGCCAGCUCCUGCUCCAGCUGCUGAGAAGCCUGAAGAGACCAAGACAGAGACACAGCCCCGCAGCACCACAGGGAGGCCCCAGUUACCCCAUGCGGAUGAGUUUCAUGGCCAUCUCUAACUAAGGUCAGCACUGUUCAGGGCAGGUUCAUAGGUAACGACCUGGUGAACUGAAAAGCAAAUUUCUCUCGGUCCCUAAAGCCACUCGCUGAGCGUCUAAGCAUGAAACGUGAGACCUAAGAGGGGUGGCAAACACGUUUUCAUUCACUUCUCACCAAACCUGUCUCCUAUGCCCAUUUUACAGAGGAGGAAACUGAGGCACAGAGACUUCAAGGUAGAUGGCCAGGUACCCUGGCUCUGCCAGCCUGCCUUUCAGCAGGGGCUUCAAUGGUCUUGCUCAAAUCACAUCCGCACUGACGAAUUUCCCUGUCGACUGUAGGUUCUCUUGUUGCUCUGAGUCCUUUUUCUGAGAAACUGGGGGUAGUUUGGUGUUUCAAUCAGGGCAAUAUCUUUCAUCUCUCACCUUCUUCCCUGCCUUGUCUCUCCUUGGCCAUACUGGGCUUCCGGGCCCUGCACCCCUUCCUGCACCCUUGUCACGCCAUGCAUCUGGGGGAAGUUACACAACCACAGCUGUGCAGACCCAGCCACACAAGAUUCCCAGAGGGCAGUCCACAGGGGCCCCGGCAACUCCUAUCAUCCUUGCUCCAGGCUUUGGCAGGCAGCUCCUGCACGCUCCUCUCAGCCCCAUUCCAGGCCCACAGCCCCUCAAGCUUCCACCCAGCCCCAGCCACUAACUCUCAAAUGACAAAUGUGUUUCCUGUUUCAUCAGGACAGGACAUCGAUGUCAUCUGUAACUUCCAGUGCACUGGGGCACACAGCUGCAUCUCCCCAUGCUCACCUCCUGCCUCUUGCUCUGCCCAGUGUGAGGACUCAGCCUGGAUCACCUCCUCCAGGACAAGAACAACCUACCAUCAUCUGUCCGUCCAAUCUACCCACCCAUCCAUCUCUGCCUCUGGGCAUGCAUCCGUCCGUCCAUCCAUCCCCGCCUCUGUGCAUGCAUCUGUCCAUCCAUCCCCGCCUCUGUGCAUGCAUCUGUCCAUUCAUCCCCGCCUCUGUGCAUGCAUCUGUCCAUUCAUCCCCGCCUCUGUGCAUGCAUCUGUCCAUUCAUCCCCACCUCUGUGCAUGCAUCUGUCCGUCCAUCCAUCCCUGCCUCUGUGCAUGCAUCUGUCCAUCCAUCCCCGCCUCUGUGCAUGCAUCUGUCCAUCCAUCCAUCCCUGCCUCUGUGCAUGCAUCUGUCCAUCCAUCCAUCCCUGCCUCUGUGCAUGCAUCUGUCCAUUCAUCCCUGCCUCUGUGCAUGCAUCUCUCCAUCCAUCCAUCCCUGCCUCUGUGCAUGCAUCUGUCCGUCCAUCCAUCCCUGCCUCUGUGCAUGCAUCUGUCCGUCCAUUCAUCCCUGCCUCUGUGCAUGCAUCUGUCCAUUCAUCCAUCCCUGACUCUGUGCAUGCAUCUGUCCAUCCAUCCAUCCUUGCCUCUAUGCAUGCAUCUGUCCGUGCAUCCAUACCUGCCUCUGUGCAUGCAUCUGUCAGUCUAUCAAUCCCCGAUCCCUUCUUUGUAAUGGUGUUGAGUGCUCACAACUCCCUCAUCCUAAGACGCUCGUUGGAUCCAUUCCCUCCCGUCACCCCAUGCUGCUCUCUGCCCUCCCUUCCCGGUCAAGUUCUCCAGCCAGUGGUCUCAACUCAAUCUUCACUUCCCCCGCUCCUCUCACACCUAUCCCCACUGCAUUCUAAAUUCUUCCCCAACGCGCUGGGCCUACAGGCACUAAAAAGGUCACUUUGUCCCUGGAUGACCAAACACAGGCCAAUGUAACUUACUGGGCUUGUUUUGCCCCAGCCACAGCUGACCACUUCCUCCUUCACUCUUGUUGUUGAUCACCUUUGGGCUUAGUCUUUCUCCAUCUCUGUUGAGUCCUUCUCCCCUGCCACCUACUCCUUCAUGCUGGGGUUCUCUGUAGCUCUGUACCUGACAGUCACGUUCCACCCUUUCCUCCCAGAAGCUCGCCAACCCCCGUGGACUGCUGGCUCUCAAGGCGACCGCUAGCCCAGCUCCGACAGCAGCUGACAAUGCACAGUAUGCGGCCCGGGACAGGCCCUGUGCUGAGAGGCAUGGGUGAAUCGCUCAUUUCAUCGGCAAGCCCACGCCACCAGCAGGCGCCGUUCUCCUCGCAUUUCUCAGGUCUACGCUCCCUCCCAUGGCCCAGGUGGACUGUGAACCUUCUGGGAGUAGGGCUGUAAUCACUUCAUCCUGGGAUGAGCUCAGCCUGGCAGGAGGCGCUCAAGAUGUGCUACGU
RNAcentral lists this long non-coding RNA (2754 nucleotides) under Pan troglodytes (chimpanzee). RNAcentral's name for it is "long non-coding RNA NONPTRT006176". Lineage: Eukaryota; Metazoa; Chordata; Mammalia; Primates; Hominidae. The record is from RNAcentral.